GAUGAGGCAUGCAAGUCGAACGGAAUAAUGACUUCGGUUGUUAUUUAGUGGCGGAAGGGUUAGUAAUACAUAGAUAAUCUGUCCUCAACUUGGGAAUAACGGUUGGAAACGACCGCUAAUACCGAAUGUGGUAUGUUUAGGCAUCUAAAACAUAUUAAAGAAGGGGAUCUUCGGACCUUUCGGUUAAGGAAGAGUCUAUGGGAUAUCAGCUUGUUGGUGGGGUAAUGGCCUACCAAGGCUUUGACGUCUAGGCGGAUUGAGAGAUUGACCGCCAACACUGGGACUGAGACACUGCCCAGACUUCUACGGAAGGCUGCAGUCGAGAAUCUUUCGCAAUGGACGAAAGUCUGACGAAGCGACGCCGCGUGUGUGAUGAAGGCUCUAGGGUUGUAAAGCACUUUCGCUUGGGAAUAAGAGAAAUUGGCUAAUAUCCAAUUGAUUUGAGCGUACCCAGGUAAA
Molecule: ribosomal RNA, 459 nt
Filed under: Chlamydia sp. C312-513
Lineage: Bacteria; Pseudomonadati; Chlamydiota; Chlamydiia; Chlamydiales; Chlamydiaceae
Description: bacterial SSU rRNA
Rfam family: Bacterial small subunit ribosomal RNA
Source: RNAcentral